RNAcentral lists this ribosomal RNA (649 nucleotides) under uncultured organism. RNAcentral describes it as "bacterial SSU rRNA". It matches the Rfam family "Bacterial small subunit ribosomal RNA", at positions 1 to 663 of the family's 1533-position model. The record is from RNAcentral.
GGCUUAGAGUUUGAUCAUGGCUCAGGACGAACGCUGGCGGCGCGCCUAACACAUGCAAGUCGAACGGGGUUGAGAGGAGCUUGCUUUUCUUGACUUAGUGGCGAACGGGUGAGUAACGCGUGAGGAACCUGCCUCAAAGAGGGGGACAACAGUUGGAAACGACUGCUAAUACCGCAUAAGCCCACAGUCUCGCAUGAGACAGAGGGAAAAGGAGCAAUCCGCUUUGAGAUGGCCUCGCGUCCGAUUAGCUAGUUGGUGAGGUAACGGCCCACCAAGGCGACGAUCGGUAGCCGGACUGAGAGGUUGAACGGCCACAUUGGGACUGAGACACGGCCCAGACUCCCACGGGAGGCAGCAGUGGGGAAUAUUGCACAAUGGGGGAAACCCUGAUGCAGCGACGCCGCGUGGAGGAAGAAGGUCUUCGGAUUGUAAACUCCUGUUGUUGGGGAAAAAGAGGAUGGUACCCAACAAGGAAGUGACGGCUAACUACGUGCCAGCAGCCGCGGUAAAACGUAGGUCACAAGCGUUGUCCGGAAUUACUGGGUGUAAAGGGAGCGCAGGCGGGUAUGCAAGUUGGGAGUGAAAUACAUGGGCUCAACCCAUGAACUGCUCUCAAAACUGUGUAUCUUGAGUAGUGCAGAGGUAGGCG